GACGAUUCCGAUCCCGAUGAUUCUAGCGAUCUCAAAGGACUCAUGUCGGCGUUGCAGAAAAUCAGAGAGAAGGCGGACGAGGAUGGCCGUAAGAAGAAGGAAGAAAGCAUCUCCAGCAUGUCCAAUGAGGUUAAUUCAAAGAUUGAGGAGCUGAAGUCAAAACUUGAGAAAGAAAGACAAAACUUUACCAAAGCACUUUCAAAGAGUUCAAAGGAGGUCUGAACAAAGAUCCGAAGAUGAUCGGAAUGGUGUCCAUUGGAGAUGUGGUCCGAGCUGUGGUGAGUGAGCAUCGAGAGGAGCUUCAACGCCUUAAUGCGUUUAUUCAGGGAGGUUACUAGAUCUUGAAGAUUGGUAAGACAAGAGUCACCGUUUGUUUCUGGUCUAGUGCGAGUGCCUGCUGAAUCUGAAAAGCUUUUAGAUCAAUGUAUAUAUGCUGUCCUGUUGUUGUUGUUGUUGUGUUCUGUUUGAUGUUUGUUGUUUCGUUGUUUAACUUUCAGUUAUAUUAGAAUCCUUCAUUAACUUAAAAUACAAACAAGAAAUCCAAGUCCAAUAUAUAAAACGGACAGAUUUUCUAAUAAUUGUAAUCGGUCAAAAAU
Non-coding RNA from Camelina sativa (false flax), 596 nucleotides. The record is from RefSeq and is a predicted model, not a curated record. NCBI's taxonomy places the organism in Eukaryota, Viridiplantae, Streptophyta, Magnoliopsida, Brassicales, Brassicaceae.